GGAAGUUAAAAAAUUGUUUCUUAACUUUAACUAAAAAAGCUAAGAACCGGUUUUUAAAUAAGGAUUUUAAGAACCGGUUCUUAACUUUUUUAGUUAAAAGUUAAGAAACAGUUUUUUAACUUCC
Molecule: microRNA precursor, 124 nt
Filed under: Brassica napus (rape)
Lineage: Eukaryota; Viridiplantae; Streptophyta; Magnoliopsida; Brassicales; Brassicaceae
Description: MIR9563 microRNA precursor family
Rfam family: MIR9563 microRNA precursor family
Source: Rfam by way of RNAcentral